GGACAGUUAGCUCAGUUGGUAGAGCAUCAGCUCGACACGCUGGUGGUCACAAGUUCAAGUCUUGUACUGUCCACCA
This 76-nucleotide transfer RNA is filed under the name Planctomyces bekefii. RNAcentral's name for it is "tRNA-Val". It matches the Rfam family "tRNA". From Rfam's summary of the family: Transfer RNA (tRNA) molecules are approximately 80 nucleotides in length. Lineage: Bacteria; Pseudomonadati; Planctomycetota; Planctomycetia; Planctomycetales; Planctomycetaceae. The record is from RNAcentral.